CCUACGGGUGGCAGCAGUGGGGAAUAUUGCACAAUGGGGGAAACCCUGAUGCAGCAACGCCGCGUGAGUGAGGAAGUAUUUCGGUAUGUAAAGCUCUAUCAGCAGGGAAGAGAAAAGAUGUUACUUGAAAAAUAAGCCUCGGCUAACUCCGUGCAAGCAGCCGCGGUAAACUGUAGGGGAGCAGCGUUAGUCGGAUGGACUGGGUGGAAAGGGUGCGUAGAGGGAAAGGUAAGUCAGAAGUGAAAGCCCAUGGCUCAACCUUGGGAAUGCUAUUGAAACCGUAAUACUAGAGUACGGGGGAGGAUAGCGGAAUUCCUAGUGUAGCGGUGAAAUGCGUAGAUAUUAGGAGGAAAACCAGUGGCGAAGGCGACUAUCUGGAGCGAAACUGACGUUGAGGCUCGAAAGCGUGGGGAGCAAACAGGAUUAGAUACCCCGGUAGUC
Molecule: ribosomal RNA, 441 nt
Filed under: uncultured bacterium
Lineage: Bacteria
Description: partial 16S ribosomal RNA
Rfam family: Bacterial small subunit ribosomal RNA
Source: RNAcentral